CUUUAUUGGAGAGUUUGAUCCUGGCUCAGGAUGAACGCUGGCGGCGUGCCUAAUACAUGCAAGUCGAGCGAAUGGAUUGAGAGCUUGCUCUCAAGAAGUUAGCGGCGGACGGGUGAGUAACACGUGGGUAACCUGCCCAUAAGACUGGGAUAACUCCGGGAAACCGGGGCUAAUACCGGAUAAUAUUUUGAACUGCAUGG
Molecule: ribosomal RNA, 200 nt
Filed under: Bacillus toyonensis
Lineage: Bacteria; Bacillati; Bacillota; Bacilli; Caryophanales; Bacillaceae
Description: 16S rRNA. Bacterial SSU
Rfam family: Bacterial small subunit ribosomal RNA
Source: RNAcentral